This 468-nucleotide ribosomal RNA is filed under the name uncultured bacterium. Its description in RNAcentral is "partial 16S ribosomal RNA". It matches the Rfam family "Bacterial small subunit ribosomal RNA", at positions 28 to 507 of the family's 1533-position model. The record is from RNAcentral.
GACGAACGCUGGCGGCGUGCUUAAUACAUGCAAGUCGAACGGAAAGGUCCUGCUUUUGUUGGGCGCUCGAGUGGCGAACGGGUGAGUAACACGUGAGUAACCUGCCCUUGACUUUGGGAUAACUUCAGGAAACUGGGGCUCAUAUCGGAUAGGAGCUCCUGCUGCAUGGUGGGGGUUGGAGAGUUUCGGCGGUUGGGGCUGGUCUCGCGGCUUAUCAGCUUGUUGGUGGGGUAGUGGCUUACGAAGGCUUUGACGGGUAGCCGGCCUGGGAGGGUGAACGGCCACAUUGGGACUGAGAGACGGCCCAGACUCGUACGUGAGGCAGCAGUGGGGAAUAUGGCACAGCGGGCGGAAGCCUGAUGCAGCGACGCCGCGUGCGGAAUGACGGCCUUCGGGUUGUAAACCGCUGUCGACUGUGACGAAGCGUUAGUGACGGUAAUGGGUAAAGAAGCACCGGCUAACUACGUG